RNAcentral lists this transfer RNA (66 nucleotides) under Salganea quinquedentata. Its description in RNAcentral is "tRNA-Leu". It matches the Rfam family "tRNA". Rfam says of the family: Transfer RNA (tRNA) molecules are approximately 80 nucleotides in length. Their secondary structure includes four short double-helical elements and three loops (D, anti-codon, and T loops). Further hydrogen bonds mediate the characteristic L-shaped molecular structure. tRNAs have two regions of fundamental functional importance: the anti-codon, which is responsible for specific mRNA codon recognition, and the 3' end, to which the tRNAs corresponding amino acid is attached (by aminoacyl-tRNA synthetases). tRNAs cope with the degeneracy of the genetic code in two manners: having more than one tRNA (with a specific anti-codon) for a particular amino acid; and 'wobble' base-pairing, i.e. permitting non-standard base-pairing at the 3rd anti-codon position. The record is from RNAcentral. Lineage: Eukaryota; Metazoa; Arthropoda; Insecta; Blattodea; Blaberidae.
ACUAUUUUGGCAGAAAAGUGCAUUAGAUUUAGAAUCUAAUAAUGUAAUUUUGGGUUACAAGUAGUA